CUACGGGGUGCUCCAGUAAGGAAUAUUGCGCAAUGGAGGCAACUCUGACGCAGCCAUGCCGCGUGCAGGAAGAAGGCCUUAUGGGUCGUAAACUGCUUUUAUUUAGGAAUAAACCCCCGAACGUGUUCGGGGCUGAAGGUACUAAACGAAUAAGCACCGGCUAACUCCGUGCCAGCAGCCGCGGUAAUACGGAGGGUGCAAGCGUUAUCCGGAUUUAUUGGGUUUAAAGGGUGCGCAGGCGGGCUAUUAAGUCAGUGGUGAAAUCCCGGGGCUCAACUCCGGAACUGCCAUUGAUACUGAUAGUCUUGAGUUUGGUUGAAGUGGGCGGAAUGUAGCAUGUAGCGGUGAAAUGCAUAGAUAUGCUACAGAACACCAAUCGCGAAGGCAGCUCACUAAGCCAAAACUGUCGCUCAUGCACGAAAGCGUGGGGAUCAAACAGGAUUAGAUACCCCAGUAGUC
This 459-nucleotide ribosomal RNA is filed under the name uncultured bacterium. Its description in RNAcentral is "partial 16S ribosomal RNA". It matches the Rfam family "Bacterial small subunit ribosomal RNA", at positions 339 to 795 of the family's 1533-position model. The record is from RNAcentral.